GCGGAUGUAGUUCAGUGGUAGAACAUCAGCUUCCCAAGCUGAAUACGGGAGUUCGAUUCUCCUCAUCCGCU
This 71-nucleotide transfer RNA is filed under the name Acidimicrobiia bacterium. Its description in RNAcentral is "tRNA-Gly". It matches the Rfam family "tRNA". Rfam says of the family: Transfer RNA (tRNA) molecules are approximately 80 nucleotides in length. Their secondary structure includes four short double-helical elements and three loops (D, anti-codon, and T loops). Lineage: Bacteria; Bacillati; Actinomycetota; Acidimicrobiia. The record is from RNAcentral.